RNAcentral lists this ribosomal RNA (460 nucleotides) under uncultured bacterium. RNAcentral describes it as "partial 16S ribosomal RNA". It matches the Rfam family "Bacterial small subunit ribosomal RNA", at positions 338 to 795 of the family's 1533-position model. The record is from RNAcentral.
CCUACGGGAGGCAGCAGUGAGGAAUAUUGGUCAAUGGCCGGAAGGCUGAACCAGCCAUGCCGCGUGAAGGUCAGUGCCCCAUGGGCGUUAAACCUCCUUUGUGCGGGAGCAAUAAUGGUCACGUGUGGCCAGACGAGAGUACCGUACGAAUAAGCAUCGGCUAACUCCGUUCCAGCCGCCGCGGUAAUACGGGGGAUGCAAGCGUUUUCCGGAUUUAUUGGGGUUUAAGGGUGCGUAGGCUGGGAGGUAAGUCAGCGGUGAAAUGCCCCCGCUCAACGGGGUGAAGUGCCAUUGAUACUGCCUUGCUGGAGUGCGGAUGAGGUAGGAGGAAUGUGUGGUGUAGCGGUGAAAUGCAUAGAUAUCACACAGAACACCGAUUGCGAAGGCAUCUCACGAAUCCGCGAUUGACGCUGAGGCACGAAAGCGUGGGUAUCAAACAGGAUUAGAUACCCGGGUAGUC